GCAGUGAUGGUUCAGUGGUAGAAUUUUCUCCUUCCACGUGGGAGACUGAGGUUUGAUUCCCAGCCAAUGCA
RNAcentral lists this transfer RNA (71 nucleotides) under Loxodonta africana (African savanna elephant). It matches the Rfam family "tRNA". From Rfam's summary of the family: Transfer RNA (tRNA) molecules are approximately 80 nucleotides in length. The record is from Rfam by way of RNAcentral. Lineage: Eukaryota; Metazoa; Chordata; Mammalia; Proboscidea; Elephantidae.